AGAUGUGAGGGUGAUCUGGCUGUGACACCUGUCACCCAUUGAUUGCCAGGGUUGGUUCAGCUGAUCUGGCUGGCUAAGCAGUGUCCCAUUCUUCCCUCAAUGUUCCAUUGUGUCUCUCCCGACGGCCUUCCUGGAAUAGAGAUGGAUCUGUCUUCAGUCAAGGGCAUACGGGUAACUGUGCUCCCCUGCUGGAACCUCCAAGCAAGCUCUCAAGAAAUGGGUACCGCUGUGCCAGUCCUCACCCCUCUCCAGGACCUUUCCCAGAUUUGGAAUGUCCAGGGUCAGAUAUA
RNAcentral lists this small nuclear RNA (290 nucleotides) under Jaculus jaculus (lesser Egyptian jerboa). RNAcentral's name for it is "7SK RNA (ENSJJAG00000003874.1)". The stretch from base 1 to 257 matches the Rfam family "7SK RNA". Rfam says of the family: 7SK was discovered as an abundant small nuclear RNA in the mid-70s but a possible function has only recently been suggested. The record is from RNAcentral. Lineage: Eukaryota; Metazoa; Chordata; Mammalia; Rodentia; Dipodidae.